RNAcentral lists this ribosomal RNA (812 nucleotides) under uncultured bacterium. RNAcentral describes it as "bacterial SSU rRNA". It matches the Rfam family "Bacterial small subunit ribosomal RNA", at positions 8 to 796 of the family's 1533-position model. The record is from RNAcentral.
AGAGUUUGAUCAUGGCUCAGAACGAACGCUGGCGGCGUGGAUUAGGCAUGCAAGUCGAACGCGAAAGGGGAGCAAUCCCCGAGUAGAGUGGCGAACGGGUGAGUAACACGUGAGAAACCUGCCUUCAGCAGGGGGAUAACACUCCCAACGGGGUGCUAAUACCGCAUGAGACCACGGGGUCGCAUGGCCCUGAGGUCAAAGGUGGCCUCUGCUUGCAAGCUACCGGCUGAAGAUGGUCUCGCGUCCCAUUAGCUAGUUGGUGGGGUAAUGGCCUACCAAGGCGACGAUGGGUAGCUGGUCUGAGAGGAUGGUCAGCCACACUGGGACUGAGAUACGGCCCAGACUCCUACGGGAGGCAGCAGUCGAGAGGCUUUGGCAAUGGGGGCAACCCUGACCAAGCGACGCCGCGUGGAGGAUGAAGGCCCUUGGGUUGUAAACUCCUUUUGUUGGGGAAGAAACGCGAUCAGGUGAACAAUCUGGUCGUUUGACGGUACCCGACGAAUAAGCUCCGGCUAACUCCGUGCCAGCAGCCGCGGUAACACGGGGGGAGCAAGCGUUGUUCGGAAUCACUGGGCGUAAAGGGCGUGUAGGCGGUCGAGUAAGUGGAAUGUGAAAUGCCCCGGCUCACCCGGGGACCUGCAUUCCAAACUGCUUGGCUCGAGUAUGGGAGAGGAUGAGGGAAUUCCUGGUGUAGCGGUGAAAUGCGUAGAUAUCAGGAGGAACACCGGUGGCGAGAGCGCUCAUCUGGCCCAAUACUGACGCUGAGGCGCGAAAGCUAGGGGAGCAAACGGGAUUAGAUACCCUAGUAGUCC